AGAGUUUGAUCCUGGCUCAGGAUGAACGCUGGCGGCGUGCCUAAUACAUGCAAGUCGAGCGAACGGACGAGAAGCUUGCUUCUCUGAUGUUAGCGGCGGACGGGUGAGUAACACGUGGAUAACCUACCUAUAAGACUGGGAUAACUUCGGGAAACCGGAGCUAAUACCGGAUAAUAUUUUGAACCGCAUGGUUCAAAAGUAAAAGACGGUCUUGCUGUCACUUAUAGAUGGAUCCGCGCUGCAUUAGCUAGUUGGUAAGGUAACGGCUUACCAAGGCAACGAUGCAUAGCCGACCUGAGAGGGUGAUCGGCCACACUGGAACUGAGACACGGUCCAGACUCCUACGGGAGGCAGCAGUAGGGAAUCUUCCGCAAUGGGCGAAAGCCUGACGGAGCAACGCCGCGUGAGUGAUGAAGGUCUUCGGAUCGUAAAACUCUGUUAUUAGGGAAGAACAUAUGUGUAAGUAACUGUGCACAUCUUGACGGUACCUAAUCAGAAAGCCACGGCUAACUACGUGCCAGCAGCCGCGGUAAUACGUAGGUGGCAAGCGUUAUCCGGAAUUAUUGGGCGUAAAGCGCGCGUAGGCGGUUUUUUAAGUCUGAUGUGAAAGCCCACGGCUCAACCGUGGAGGGUCAUUGGAAACUGGAAAACUUGAGUGCAGAAGAGGAAAGUGGAAUUCCAUGUGUAGCGGUGAAAUGCGCAGAGAUAUGGAGGAACACCAGUGGCGAAGGCGACUUUCUGGUCUGUAACUGACGCUGAUGUGCGAAAGCGUGGGGAUCAAACAGGAUUAGAUACCCUGGUAGUCCACGCCGUAAACGAUGAGUGCUAAGUGUUAGGGGGUUUCCGCCCCUUAGUGCUGCAGCUAACGCAUUAAGCACUCCGCCUGGGGAGUACGACCGCAAGGUUGAAACUCAAAGGAAUUGACGGGGACCCGCACAAGCGGUGGAGCAUGUGGUUUAAUUCGAAGCAACGCGAAGAACCUUACCAAAUCUUGACAUCCUUUGACAACUCUAGAGAUAGAG
RNAcentral lists this ribosomal RNA (1022 nucleotides) under Staphylococcus aureus DAR3172. RNAcentral describes it as "bacterial SSU rRNA". It matches the Rfam family "Bacterial small subunit ribosomal RNA", at positions 8 to 1011 of the family's 1533-position model. Lineage: Bacteria; Bacillati; Bacillota; Bacilli; Caryophanales; Staphylococcaceae. The record is from RNAcentral.